Molecule: ribosomal RNA, 253 nt
Filed under: uncultured bacterium
Lineage: Bacteria
Description: partial 16S ribosomal RNA
Rfam family: Bacterial small subunit ribosomal RNA
Source: RNAcentral
UACGGGGGGGGCAAGCGUUGUUCGGAAUUACUGGGCGUAAAGGGCUCGUAGGUGGCCAACUAAGUCAGACGUGAAAUCCCCCGGCUCAACCGGGGAACGGGCACGGAUACGGCUCUUCUGGAGGAACGUAGGGGGACCUGGAACUUCCGGUGGAGCGGUGAAAUGCGUUGAGAUCGGAAGGAACGCCCGUGGCGAAAGCGAGGUCCUGGACGUUUACUGACGCUGAGACGCGAAAGCCAGGGGAGCGAACGGG